AAUUUGUGGUAGAAACCCUAGAAAAUUCUGAGAUUUUACCGCAGAUUAUGAUAUUGAAGUCAUUCAAAGUGCUCCCUCUUUGUCUGUAGCUGCUACAGUUUGAAGUACGAAGACAGAGAAGUAGGAAUGGCUGAUGUGCAAGAGAGAUGGUGUGUGGUGACUGGAGGAAGAGGCUUCGCUGCUCGGCAUUUGGUGGAAAUGUUGAUCCGAUACGAAAUGUUUCAAGUUCGAAUUGCAGAUUUAGGUACAGCCAUUAAGCUGGAGCCUGAUGAGGAGGAAGGCACAGUUGGAAAAGCUAUGCGAUCAGGCCGUGCUAAGUAUGUAUCCAUGGAUCUUCGUGACAAGUCCCAAGUACUCAAAGCGUGUGAAGGAGCUGAGGUUGUCUUCCACAUGGCUGCGCCAGAUUCAUCCGUCAACAACCACCAGCUUCAUCAUUCUGUUAAUGUGCUAGGAACCAAGAAUAUCAUUGAUGCUUGUGUUGAGCUAAAA
RNAcentral lists this unclassified non-coding RNA (489 nucleotides) under Hevea brasiliensis (rubber tree). The record is from RNAcentral. Lineage: Eukaryota; Viridiplantae; Streptophyta; Magnoliopsida; Malpighiales; Euphorbiaceae.